UGCCCUGGUGGUGCUUCUGGACGGAGACAAGGUCAAGGAGAAGAACCUGUUCGUCAGCACCACCAUCAUCGUAGUGUUCUUCACCGUCAUCUUCCAGGGCCUGACUAUCAAGCCCCUGGUGCAGUGGCUGAAGGUGAAGAGGAGUGAGCACCGGGAACCUCGGCUCAACGAGAAGCUGCACGGCCGCGCUUUCGACCACAUCCUCUCGGCCAUCGAGGACAUAUCCGGACAGAUCGGGCACAAUUAUCUCAGAGACAAGUGGUCCCACUUCGACAGGAAGUUCCUCAGCAGGGUCCUCAUGAGACGGUCGGCCCAGAAGUCUCGAGACCGGAUCCUGAAUGUCUUCCACGAGCUGAACCUGAAGGAUGCCAUCAGCUACGUGGCUGAGGUAGCAGAGCCGCUUGCUCUGCCGGGUCGGGGCUGCAGCAGGCUCCGGCACUGGCUGUGGGUGCCAUGGGGGCAGUGAGGAGAGGCCCCUGCACCCGCGUCCCAAGGCCAGGCCCACCCCAGCAGUUCACGGGAGGCUGAUGGGCCUUCUGAUGCCCUGGGAAUCCCAGGGGCUCUCGGGUAAACUGAGUCACAGAG
RNAcentral lists this small RNA (585 nucleotides) under Pan troglodytes (chimpanzee). RNAcentral's name for it is "retained intron". The record is from RNAcentral. Lineage: Eukaryota; Metazoa; Chordata; Mammalia; Primates; Hominidae.